Molecule: long non-coding RNA, 2392 nt
Filed under: Capsicum annuum
Lineage: Eukaryota; Viridiplantae; Streptophyta; Magnoliopsida; Solanales; Solanaceae
Description: long non-coding RNA (CANN_LNC007304)
Source: RNAcentral
UGUUGUGCUGCCUCCUGAAGGUUUAGUGUCACGCCCCCAGAAUGGUAGGGGCGGACAAGAACCGCAUGAACAUCUGCUUUAUAAAUAACCUAUGACAUAUACGGAGUUAUAAAAUAAUAAACGAGCGGAAGAUCUAUUGCGAGUUAAAUACACAUACUAUCUGAGUUAUCUGGAGAAAAAUUGUAUUUAAUUCUAGGAAGCCUCUGAAGAGUUUACAACACUGUGUUACUAAUAACUAGUCAAGAUAGGCCCCAAGGUACCCAAUUAGCAACCUGUACAUAUAGCCAAAAGUACUAGACAUAAUUUGGCUCCAAGUAGAGAUGGAGCUCACCCACAUACCAGCUGGGGAGGGCUAGGAACCUUAACAUGGAUAUCUAUUCACUUGCGGACCUGAUCUUGUAUUUACAAAGAUGCGGCGCCCCCAACAUAAGGACGUCUGUACAUAUACAAAACGUACUGGUAUAUAAAGCAUAUAUAAAGCAGACAGUAUAACAUAUGGACAUAUAAGGAUGCUCAAUGAAUCAAGUAACAAAAUGCGCAAUUGUACAUAACUGAAUAGUAGAAACUCCUAUAUGGAACUAUAGCUUAUGAGCGUAUAAGUGACAGAUAUGUAGUAUAAAAUGAUAGCCUAUGCAUUUGCCUUGUUAACUUAUCAUAUGACGUCUUAUUAUGAGUAAUUCAUCAUUAUGAAGCGCAUGGUGAUGGCUUUACUACAAAUAAUCAUAUGAUGGCCUAUCAAAGGCAAUCGAUGGCAAAUAUAUAGCAUAUGUUGGUUAAAUACUCAUUGCUACGAUUUUAUACGUAUAACUGUAAUCGCAGUCUGAUACAGGAUAUGCCCCCCAUGGGCUCACUAUGAGGGUCUGUUUGCGGGCCAUAUGUGUCAUAUAUUGGCUCGAGUUAGGGGAACCAGUACAUGACAUUCCAGUUGACUCCAAAUAUAAAUGAUGCCACAAGGGCGGGUACGCCACAAUGUUUGGGCUCACUAUAAUUAUCUUGUCUCAAUUCUGUGCACAGAAUUACGUCGCACAUGUGUGUCAAGCCAAAACUAGGAAUACCCUCCCAUCGUAAACUUUUACCAAGUAGUGCUUUCCAUAUACAACUAUUUGGCCCCGUUUGGCCAUGAAAAUCAUAAUUUUUCGGAGUUGGAGUUGUGUUUGGCCAUGAAUUUAAAUUAAAGUUGUUUUUGAAAUUUUGUGAGAGAAGUUUGAGUGAAAACAAGUAUUUUCAUGACCAAACACACAGUUUUCACUUUUUUCACUAAAGUGAAAUAAUUAUCCGGGAAAAAGUACAAACUUUUCAUGGCCAAACGGCUACUAAUUUCUUUAAUGGCAUCGAGCAAUUUAACAGUAGUUCUUUAUAUCAUCAUAUGACUAUAUUGCUUAUGUGAUCCAAUAUACCAGUGUAACUAUACUGUAGCCAUUUAUUCUAAAUAUAUAGCAUGUGAUAGAUGUACCAUAUGAACUCUAAGAAUUUCUAAUGAGCAUGAAUACAGUCAUUUAUGACUCUAUAGAUACUUGACGCGACAAAAGUGAACUCAUGAAGGUCGGAGACAAGAAAUUUCAAAUGGAAAGGGCAUGUGGAUGUUGUGGCCACAUUAGGCAUAUAGUCACCUGUUAAGACAACCUUCAGUCGUACCUUAACAACGAAGGAGGAUUUAGCUUUGCAUAUCUUUGGUGCUUUCCUAGCUAGCGGUAGAAGUGCGAGUCCCUACCAUCUCUAUAGAUGGGGUGUAAUCUUUACACAACUAACUAUGAGCUUCCACCCCCAAUUGGUGAGCAAGUAAUCCAACAUUGUCAACUACAUAUACAGUACUUAUAUAUCAUCAAUAACUCGUGAAUUCAUAUACCAAGUUGUUCCAAUACUUUUUACUUAUGCCCAAAGUUAGUCAAGUUUCUUAACAAUUAUCCGGAGUAAAUCCUUUAAUUUUUCUAACAUGUGUAAUUCAAUACCAAAUCUGUCCAGUUGGUAAGAGUUCCCAAAAAUUCUAUUUUUUCCACAAUUUCAUCUUUUCCCCUUUUUCAAGAAUCCUAGUUAUAAGACACAUUUCAAGAAGUAGCACGAAAUUCAAAUCGAAUAUCCCAAAUACUUAUCCAUAAUCAUAUUCAAGAGAGGGAUGGAGAAUUUACCUCUUGGGGUUCACCCUAACUAUCGAUUAUUGAAAUCACUUCUUCUAGAUCCUUUGAAAUUGACAUAGAAAUCUUUUAAUUUGCCUGAUCCUUAAGGAUCCAGGUGAUUCCUUCCCUUUUAAUCUCCUCAUCCACCAAAUUUUUUGCUUACUAGUUGCUGCAUGAACGGAGAAGAGGAAGAGAAUUGAGCCGCAUUAGUAUGUAGUAGUAUGUAGUAGCACCUGCAUGCUUUCUUGAUUUCCUUUUUCCCAACCAAAUAUCCCUUU